RNAcentral lists this long non-coding RNA (1049 nucleotides) under Homo sapiens (human). RNAcentral's name for it is "non-protein coding lnc-SPRY1-11:13". The record is from RNAcentral. Lineage: Eukaryota; Metazoa; Chordata; Mammalia; Primates; Hominidae.
AGCAUUUCUAAAUGACUUGAAGCUCUGUCACGGCAUAAUCUCUUAUAAAUAAAUGUCAGUGUAGUCACUGAAUGCAGACUGGAUUUUUGCCUGACUACGGUGCUCAGCCUUCUAGACAAUAGUUAUGCUAAGGGAUUAUCUUUUAACAUUGUGCAGUUAUCUCCUUUGUUUGUUUUCUUUUUUCAUUAUUCACAUAAGCCAAGGGAAAUGAAAAGCAUCUUAUUUCAGGCAAAAAGGCCUGUGAAUGAUUAACUCUGGUUCCAUGCGUUGGGACUUUGCAUAGCAACCCCGUGGCUUGCAACGACAAAAAAGCUCAAGGCAGGAACAGCAGCCCAGGGACCUGAGACCAGCGUUCUCAAAUGAAGCCAGAUCUGCUGUUAGAGGAGAAUUCUUCUGUCCUAGCUGUGUCUCUGUGAUCUGUGGAUGAGGGUGGGAAAGCACCACUCAGUCAAUUGGGGUGUACAAAAUGGAGUUUGAGAAGGUCUCACAUCCAGGUUGUUUUGAAGCAAAGUCCAAGCAUUGUAUCACUUCAUCUGCAAAUAUUUCAAUAAGUACCCAAAAGACUUCCUAGGAUAGAGCUUGGAAAGGUUGGAAAAGUAAGGAUGAUUGAACUUGAAAGGUGUGAAUGAAAGAAGAAUUAUCUUUUGGGAUGGAGAAUAGUAGCUGUUUUCAAAGAAGAUUUUAUUUUAUCUUUCAUUUUUGGCCUAUAAGUUUUGCAGAGAAUCUGUGAUUAGAGUAUUUAGUAAAGUACUAUGUAAUUAUUGUUCUGUUAUUUGGACACAUGUUUAAACUAGAAUUUUGAAGAUAGCAAUUAGCAAUAAUUAUGUAUGUUCUAGCCACUUUAUUCAUUCUACCUCUUUUACCAUAUACUUUAAAGAUAUCUAUAUGGUAAAAGGUAAGUGGCAACUGAAUAAUCACAAAUACAUCAACAAGUAAAGAGAUGCUUUGUUUUAUUGAGUGCAUUCUUAUAUUUUCUCUUUUGCUGGAAUAAUAAGUGGGGUUUUAAACUGAUCUGUUCUAACAUUGUUUUUCCUCAUUUUCUCUCUCUU